This 403-nucleotide ribosomal RNA is filed under the name uncultured bacterium. Its description in RNAcentral is "partial 16S ribosomal RNA". It matches the Rfam family "Bacterial small subunit ribosomal RNA", at positions 28 to 526 of the family's 1533-position model. The record is from RNAcentral.
GACGAACGCUGGCGGCGUGCCUAAUACAUGCAAGUCGAACGCAGUGGGGACGGGUGAGUAAAACGUGGGUAACCUCCCAUCAGAGGGGAUAACACUUGGAAACAGGUGCAAAACCGAUACUGAUGGAUGAACCCGCGGUGCAUUAGCUAGUUGGUGAGGUAACGGCUCACCAAGGCCACGAGGCAUAGCCGACCUGAGAGGGUGAUCGGCCACACUGGGACUGAGACACGGCCCAGACUCCUACGGGAGGCAGCAGUAGGGAAUCUUCGGCAAUGGACGAAAGCCUGAUCGAGCAACGCCGCGUGUGUGAAGAAGGUUUUCGGAUCGUAAAACUCUUUUGGUAGAGAAGCGGUAUCUAACCAGAAAGCCCCGGCUAACUACGUGCCAGCCGCCGCGGUAAUUC